RNAcentral lists this ribosomal RNA (1415 nucleotides) under Staphylococcus aureus. Its description in RNAcentral is "bacterial SSU rRNA". It matches the Rfam family "Bacterial small subunit ribosomal RNA". The record is from RNAcentral. Lineage: Bacteria; Bacillati; Bacillota; Bacilli; Caryophanales; Staphylococcaceae.
AUGCAGUCGAGCGAACGGACGAGAAGCUUGCUUCUCUGAUGUUAGCGGCGGACGGGUGAGUAACACGUGGAUAACCUACCUAUAAGACUGGGAUAACUUCGGGAAACCGGAGCUAAUACCGGAUAAUAUUUUGAACCGCAUGGUUCAAAAGUGAAAGACGGUCUUGCUGUCACUUAUAGAUGGAUCCGCGCUGCAUUAGCUAGUUGGUAAGGUAACGGCUUACCAAGGCAACGAUGCAUAGCCGACCUGAGAGGGUGAUCGGCCACACUGGAACUGAGACACGGUCCAGACUCCUACGGGAGGCAGCAGUAGGGAAUCUUCCGCAAUGGGCGAAAGCCUGACGGAGCAACGCCGCGUGAGUGAUGAAGGUCUUCGGAUCGUAAAACUCUGUUAUUAGGGAAGAACAUAUGUGUAAGUAACUGUGCACAUCUUGACGGUACCUAAUCAGAAAGCCACGGCUAACUACGUGCCAGCAGCCGCGGUAAUACGUAGGUGGCAAGCGUUAUCCGGAAUUAUUGGGCGUAAAGCGCGCGUAGGCGGUUUUUUAAGUCUGAUGUGAAAGCCCACGGCUCAACCGUGGAGGGUCAUUGGAAAACUGGAAAAACUUGAGUGCAGAAGAGGAAAAGUGGAAUUUCCAUGUGUAGCGGUGAAAUGCGCAGAGAUAUGGAGGAACACCAGUGGCGAAGGCGACUUUCUGGUCUGUAACUGACGCUGAUGUGCGAAAGCGUGGGGAUCAAACAGGAUUAGAUACCCUGGUAGUCCACGCCGUAAACGAUGAGUGCUAAGUGUUAGGGGGUUUCCGCCCCUUAGUGCUGCAGCUAACGCAUUAAGCACUCCGCCUGGGGAGUACGACCGCAAGGUUGAAACUCAAAGGAAUUGACGGGGACCCGCACAAGCGGUGGAGCAUGUGGUUUAAUUCGAAGCAACGCGAAGAACCUUACCAAAUCUUGACAUCCUUUGACAACUCUAGAGAUAGAGCUUUCCCCUUCGGGGGACAAAGUGACAGGUGGUGCAUGGUUGUCGUCAGCUCGUGUCGUGAGAUGUUGGGUUAAGUCCCGCAACGAGCGCAACCCUUAAGCUUAGUUGCCAUCAUUAAGUUGGGCACUCUAAGUUGACUGCCGGUGACAAACCGGAGGAAGGUGGGGAUGACGUCAAAUCAUCAUGCCCCUUAUGAUUUGGGCUACACACGUGCUACAAUGGACAAUACAAAGGGCAGCGAAACCGCGAGGUCAAGCAAAUCCCAUAAAGUUGUUCUCAGUUCGGAUUGUAGUCUGCAACUCGACUACAUGAAGCUGGAAUCGCUAGUAAUCGUAGAUCAGCAUGCUACGGUGAAUACGUUCCCGGGUCUUGUACACACCGCCCGUCACACCACGAGAGUUUGUAACACCCGAAGCCGGUGGAGUAACCUUUUAGGA